UACUUUCAAAUUAAAUAUUAGAGGUAUUAAACGGCCAAAUUAAAAAUAGAUUACGGUUUUUUUUAGGGUUUUUUCCCUUUUUUUUU
Molecule: small RNA, 86 nt
Filed under: Arabidopsis thaliana (thale cress)
Lineage: Eukaryota; Viridiplantae; Streptophyta; Magnoliopsida; Brassicales; Brassicaceae
Description: ATSL159030
Source: RNAcentral